CCUACGGGGUGCAGCAGUGGGGAAUAUUGGACAAUGGGCGAAAGCCUGAUCCAGCCAUGCCGCGUGUGUGAAGAAGGCCUUCGGGUUGUAAAGCACUUUCAGUGGGGAAGAAAGCCUUGGGGCUAAUACCCUCGAGGAAGGACAUCACCCACAGUAGAAGCACCGGCUAACUCCGUGCCAGCAGCCGCGGUAAUACGGAGGGUGCGAGCGUUAAUCGGAAUUACUGGGCGUAAAGCGCGCGUAGGCGGUCUGAUAAGCCGGUUGUGAAAGCCCCGGGCUCAACCUGGGAACGGCAUCCGGAACUGUCAGGCUAGAGUGCAGGAGAGGAAGGUAGAAUUCCUGGUGUAGCGGUGAAAUGCGUAGAGAUCGGGAGGAAUACCAGUGGCGAAGGCGGCCUUCUGGACUGACACUGACGCUGAGGUGCGAAAGCGUGGGUAGCAAACAGGAUUAGAUACCCGUGUAGUC
Molecule: ribosomal RNA, 465 nt
Filed under: Vreelandella stevensii
Lineage: Bacteria; Pseudomonadati; Pseudomonadota; Gammaproteobacteria; Oceanospirillales; Halomonadaceae
Description: partial 16S ribosomal RNA
Rfam family: Bacterial small subunit ribosomal RNA
Source: RNAcentral